AUUAUACAAAUAGGCAGUAUACACAGUGAGCGCCCACUAAGCGCUGGGCUGGGGGCCUCCAACCCGGAACAGAAGCCGGCCACAACCCUCGCUCCCUGUCGUCGCGGCCGUUAUAGGCCGAAAGCAAAAUCCAAUCCCGGGCCAUUGUGGGCGGAUUGCCAGGACCUGGAUCGCAACACUUGGGAAGACCCCCGCCCCGCCCAGCGAUCUCCGUGCCCUGAGUCCCAGUGACGGCCCCCUGGACAGCGGAGCCUGCUGCAGCGACGCGACGCGCUGGAUCUCAAAGCAAGGCUUGUUGGACAAAUAAAUGAAGAUGAGCCCAAGAGCCCAGGAGAGGGACCGGGAACAGCAGGGCCUCCGUGACUCACACAAGCUUCAUCCCUGAACCAAGGACGCAGCCUGCCAACAAUGGCCCCAAGCCACACCCCGCCACAGGGGGAACUGAUGCUGCGGUGAGAAGUGACAGCUUUCUGUUGACUCUUUUUUUUUUCAAGCAGAAUAUGAAUUGAGACAUACUUUCAUUUUCAUAAUCAGAACCUAACACUUAGUAACCAAUGUUGGUGGAAGCAAAUGAGAUCACAGUUUGUCUGUUCCAAACUCAUCUCUGGGAAAAGGAGGAGGAAAAAUUAUUGGCACUAUGUUCAGAAUCAUAGCUGAAGAUGCAGAAAUUGUUCAUCCCAAUUUUGCCUUUGUAAGUAAUGUGGGGGCAGUUCUUAUUAGUAAUUGCCAAUCUCUACUGAGACACAGUAUUUUGCUAGGCGCUUUAUAUUCAUUUCCUGGUAUGAUCAUGACAUUAACCCUGUGAAAUGCGUACCCUUACUAUCUCCAUGUGAAGAAAUGAGGGAACUGAGGACCAGAGAGGUGAACUGACUUGUCCAAAGACACACAGUAAGGGCUGUGACUCUCCGCUUUCUAAGAUUUUUGUUCUUAUCGCUCCACAGCACAUAGCAGGCGUAGUAUGAAGGCAGCAUGCUGCACAAUUUCGCUGUUUGUUUCUUGGAAUAAUAAUUUAUAGGGGACUGCUUCUAGAUUCCAAAGGAAAGAGAAAGGAAAUAUGCCCCAAACUCAGGCUUUCAGCCUGGCCCUGCCUGACUCACUGAGCUGCAUUGGACAAAUGAUUCAUUCACUGGCCUUGACCUCAGUGGGUUUGGCCACCCAUUGAGAGUGAAGUCACACCUCCAGCACUGCGAUGCAUUUAUUGAUCCACUCACCUAGCUUCAUGGCAGGCAAGAAACAGGCCUGUGUGAGCCUGCCCAGGAUCAGGGACAGGAGAGCACACAGGUGUUUCUGGAUAUCCUCAAGCUGUAGCUGGGCUGCUCGAUUCUUCCCUAGGAGAUCCUCCGGGGGCCUGAAUUAGUUUGCUAGGGCUUCCGUAACAAAGCGCCACAGACUGAGCGGCUUAAAUAAAAAUGUGUCAUCUCAUGGUUCUGGAGGCUGGAAGUCUGAGAUCAAGGUGCUGGGGAUUAGGACUUGAACAUAUGUUUUUUGGGGGCACACUUCAACCCUCCGGAGGGCCUGUGCCCCAAAGAGAGCCUCCUUCUGUGUGCAGUGAAGGUGUGAGUUCUAAACAUGAGAAAAAAACACCCCUUGUUCUUGGAUAGGGUGACUCGAUACCACAAGCAGGUCCAACUGGCCCAGGUAAAUAUAUUCGUUUAACAUGAUCGUCACCAAAAUAUUGAGGGUAGGUGUUUUUUUCUGGAGUUAAACAAGUUGAUUCUGGAGUUGAUAUGAAAUAAUAAACAAGCAAAAAUA
This 1752-nucleotide long non-coding RNA is filed under the name Homo sapiens (human). Its description in RNAcentral is "uncharacterized LOC105377730, transcript variant 2 (LOC105377730)". Lineage: Eukaryota; Metazoa; Chordata; Mammalia; Primates; Hominidae. The record is from RNAcentral.